GACGAACGCUGGCGGCGUGCCUAAUACAUGCAAGUCGAACGAGAGCGACCGGUGCUUGCACUGGUCAAUCUAGUGGCGAACGGGUGAGUAACACGUGGGUAACCUGCCCAUCAGAGGGGGAUAACAUCCGGAAACGGAUGCUAAAACCGCAUAGGUCUUCGAACCGCAUGGUUUGAAGAGGAAAAGAGGCGCAAGCUUCUGCUGAUGGAUGGACCCGCGGUGCAUUAGCUAGUUGGUGAGGUAACGGCUCACCAAGGCCGUGAUGCAUAGCCGACCUGAGAGGGUGAUCCGCCACAUUGGGACUGAGACACGGCCCAAACUCCUACGGGAGGCAGCAGUAGGGAAUCUUCCGCAAUGGGCGCAAGUCUGACGGAGCAACGCCGCGUGAGUGAAGAAGGUUUUCGGAUCGUAAAACUCUGUUGUUAGGGAAGAACAAGUGCUAGAGUAACUGUUAGCGCCUUGACGGUAUCUAACCAGAAAGCCACGGCUAACUACGUG
Molecule: ribosomal RNA, 498 nt
Filed under: uncultured bacterium
Lineage: Bacteria
Description: partial 16S ribosomal RNA
Rfam family: Bacterial small subunit ribosomal RNA
Source: RNAcentral